RNAcentral lists this long non-coding RNA (350 nucleotides) under Marmota monax (woodchuck). Lineage: Eukaryota; Metazoa; Chordata; Mammalia; Rodentia; Sciuridae. The record is from RNAcentral.
UAUCCAGAGAGGGGAAAUGUUGUUAGAGGCACCAAAAUACCAUUAGAUCUGAAGAAAAUACAUUAGGAGAAUUAUAAAAAAGAGACAAUAAACUAAGUCUUCACAGAACUGUGUUGAGUCUUAUGGUAGUUUGAAAUAGGACCUUGAUUCUUCAUUGUGUUGGCUGGGAUUAAAAUCCAUGAUCACCUUAAUGUUCUUCUUACAAAGUAUUACAGCAUAAUAUUGGACAACCAUUUUAUCUUCCUGCAGCCCAUCUUCCUCCUUGGGACCUGCAGAACAGGUCCACACACAUAAGCAUGAUUUCUAAACUGGGACCCAUUUUCUGCAUGACCAUGAGGCUUACAGCUGGG